UACGAAGGGGGCUAGCGUUGCUCGGAAUCACUGGGCGUAAAGGGUGCGUAGGCGGGUCUUUAAGUCAGGGGUGAAAUCCUGGAGCUCAACUCCAGAACUGCCUUUGAUACUGAGGAUCUUGAGUUCGAGAGAGGUGGGUGGAAUUCCUAGUGUAGAGGUGAAAUUCGUAGAGAUCCGGAGGAACCCCAGAGGCGAAGGCGGCGCCCUGGCUCGCAACUGACGCUCAGACACGACAGCAUGGGGAGCGAACGGG
Molecule: ribosomal RNA, 253 nt
Filed under: uncultured bacterium
Lineage: Bacteria
Description: partial 16S ribosomal RNA
Rfam family: Bacterial small subunit ribosomal RNA
Source: RNAcentral